UGUAUGUUGCUACCCAUUAAGUUGAGCACUCAUGCGAUACUGCCUGCGAUGAGCAGGAGGAAGGUGGGGAUGACGUCAAGUCAUCAUGCCCCCUNNUNNGCUGGGCUACNCACGUGCUACAAUGGGCAGUACAGAGAGUUGCCAACCCGCGAGGGUGAGCUAAUCUCUUAAAGCUGUUCUUAGUUCGGAUUGUACUCUGCAACUCGAGUACAUGAAGUUGGAAUCGCUAGUAAUCGCAAAUCAGCAUGUUGCGGNGAAUACGUU
Molecule: ribosomal RNA, 264 nt
Filed under: uncultured prokaryote
Description: partial 16S ribosomal RNA
Rfam family: Bacterial small subunit ribosomal RNA
Source: RNAcentral